This 426-nucleotide ribosomal RNA is filed under the name uncultured Chlamydiae bacterium. RNAcentral's name for it is "bacterial SSU rRNA". It matches the Rfam family "Bacterial small subunit ribosomal RNA", at positions 958 to 1385 of the family's 1533-position model. Lineage: Bacteria; Pseudomonadati; Chlamydiota; Chlamydiia. The record is from RNAcentral.
AACGCGAAGAACCUUACCCAGACUUGACAUGCAGUGGACAGGUCCAGAAAUGGACUCUUCCUUCGGGACCGCUGCACAGGUGCUGCAUGGCUGUCGUCAGCUCGUGCCGUGAGGUGUUUGGUUAAGUCCAGCAACGAGCGCAACCCUUAUCAUUAGUUGCCAACAUUUCGGAUGGGAACUCUAAUGAGACUGCCUGGGUUAACCAGGAGGAAGGUGAGGAUGACGUCAAGUCCGCAUGGCCCUUACGUCUGGGGCUACACACGUGCAACAAUGGCCGGUACAGAAGGCAGCAAGACCGCAAGGUGGAGCAAACCCUUAAAGCCGGUCCCAGUUCAGAUUGUAGUCUGCAACUCGACUACAUGAAGUUGGAAUUGCUAGUAAUGGCGUGUCAGCUACAACGCCGUGAAUACGUUCCCGGGCCUUGUA